GCCCGGAGCUUGCUCCGGAUCCCUUAGUGGCGAACGGGUGAGUAUCGCGUGGGAAUCUACCUAGAAGUGGGGAAUAACUGUUGGAAACGACAGCUAAUACCGCAUAAUCCCUUCGGGGCAAAGGCUUCGGCCGCUUUUAGAUGAGCCCGCGUUAGAUUAGGCUGUUGGUGAGGUAAUGGCUCACCAAACCUACAAUCUAUAGCUGGUCUGAGAGGAUGAUCAGCCACACUGGGACUGAGACACGGCCCAGACUCCUACGGGAGGCAGCAGUGGGGAAUAUUGGACAAUGGGGGAAACCCUGAUCCAGCAAUGCCGCGUGAGUGAUGAAGGCCUUAGGGUUGUAAAACUCU
Molecule: ribosomal RNA, 350 nt
Filed under: uncultured Alphaproteobacteria bacterium
Lineage: Bacteria; Pseudomonadati; Pseudomonadota; Alphaproteobacteria
Description: bacterial SSU rRNA
Rfam family: Bacterial small subunit ribosomal RNA
Source: RNAcentral